This 263-nucleotide ribosomal RNA is filed under the name uncultured bacterium. RNAcentral's name for it is "partial 16S ribosomal RNA". It matches the Rfam family "Bacterial small subunit ribosomal RNA", at positions 524 to 786 of the family's 1533-position model. The record is from RNAcentral.
UACGGAGGAUCCGAGCGUUAUCCGGAUUUAUUGGGUUUAAAGGGUGCGCAGGCGGGGGAUUAGGUCGGCGGUGAAAUGUCAGGGCUCAACCUUGAAAGUGCCGUCGAAACCGGUUUUCUUGAGUGCGGAUGAAGUAGGCGGAAUUUGUGGUGUAGCGGUGAAAUGCGUAGAUAUCACAAGGAACACCGAUUGCGGAGGCAGCUUACUAAACCGCAACUGACGCUCAUGCACGAAGGCGUGGGGAUCAAACAGGAUUAGAUACC